RNAcentral lists this long non-coding RNA (1392 nucleotides) under Marmota monax (woodchuck). The record is from RNAcentral. Lineage: Eukaryota; Metazoa; Chordata; Mammalia; Rodentia; Sciuridae.
GUGGUGUCUGUAGAAAUCCGGAGAGAUGUUUAAUUUGUAAAGCCUACAUAUUUGGUUCAGAGUUGUUGUGAGUAGAGAAACAAUUUCUCUGCUAGCACUGUAUAUGACAUUGUGUUCAAUAAAUAUUUCACAAUACUUAAAAUAAUAAAGUCUAUAGAGUAAUAAAAUGACACCCAGAGGAGCCAUUCUUUGAAAGAUAUUUUUGACAAGUUAAUAACUGAAAUCAUGGAGCAUCAGUAAGAACUCAACUCAGAUUUGAUGUCACAACUGCAAUUUCAGAAUGAAGUGGUACAUAAAAUUGCAUAUCCUGUGAACAAAUUUUGUCAUUUUCAAGUACUUUUUUUUGGAAGAACAUUACACAGAUUGUCAUGUGCUAGGCAUUUUACUGGUCCAUACUGUUAGGAAAAAGGAAUGCUUUUGAAUUUGCCAUGACUUCUCCAUGUCACAAGAACCUCAAGACUUUUCUCACUAAGUAAACAAAUGUAGUGCACUUCUCGGAAGGUCUAAUUGUUUUAUUAUAAAAAUGCCUGCAGGAUCCACUUGAGGGGAUGUUAAUCAAUAAAUACUUUCUCUAUUUUGUUUGAACUAUUAGGGAAGUUUUCUUAAAAGGAUGAAGUGAAGUCAGUCCUAUAUAUUUACAAAUGAUUACAUUAUAGACUGAUAAGAAGGGAACUGGCCUGAAAGUAAAUGAAUUAUGAUACACUUAGUAUGAAAGCAUGAUUAUAAGACAGAACUCAGGUCUAGUUCUGUAACUUUCAUGUAAUUUCUCAUACAAAAAGUUCUUAAUUUCUGAACGAUAGUACUUAGAGGAAGACAAAUAGAAAGUAGCUCCAAUUUUUUUCCAAGUUUUUUUUUUAUACCUUUAUUUUAUUUAUUUUUAUGUGGUACUGAGGAUUGAACCCAGUGCCUCACACAUACCAGGUGAAUGCUCCACCACUGAUUCACAGCCCCAGACCAGAAAGUAGCUCCAAUUUUGAGUUGGAAAAUUGCAUACUGAUUUGAAGUUGAUGCUUUCCUAAUUAACUCCACGAAAUAUUAAGUAGAAACGUUUGAUAACCAGUUUAGUCUAAUUAAUAUUUUGUAAGGUGUUUAUAAAUAUCACUAGGUAUGUAUGACGCACUAAUGCAUGGAUUGUCUGUAUGAAUCACAAAGAUAAAAUAAUUUGAUAAAAUCACUAGAGUUCAAAGGUAUUCUUUGAGAUAACUGUGUAAAAUAUACACAAUUUAAAGUAGUAUGAUCAUGGCAUUUGCAGGUAAAUGGAUGGUGUUGGAGAAAAUAAUGCAAAGUGAGGUUAGCCAAUCCCAAAAAUACAAAUGUCGAAUGUUUUCUCUGAUAUAAGGAGGCUGACUCAUAGUGGGGUAGGGAGGCGUGGAAGGAUUAGAUGAAUUCUAG